UGAUGUUUCAGUUGCAAAGGACUGCC
RNAcentral lists this non-coding RNA (26 nucleotides) under Rattus norvegicus (Norway rat). The record is from RNAcentral. Lineage: Eukaryota; Metazoa; Chordata; Mammalia; Rodentia; Muridae.